GCGGCGGACGGGUGAGUAACACGUGGGCAACCUGCCUGUAAGACUGGGAUAACUUCGGGAAACCGAAGCUAAUACCGGAUAGGAUCUUCUCCUUCAUGGGAGAUGAUUGAAAGAUGGUUUCGGCUAUCACUUACAGAUGGGCCCGCGGUGCAUUAGCUAGUUGGUGAGGUAACGGCUCACCAAGGCCACGAUGCAUAGCCGACCUGAGAGGGUGAUCGGCCACACUGGGACUGAGACACGGCCCAGACUCCUACGGGAGGCAGCAGUAGGGAAUCUUCCGCAAUGGACGAAAGUCUGACGGAGCAACGCCGCGUGAGUGAUGAAGGCUUUCGGGUCGUAAAACUCUGUUGUUAGGGAAGAACAAGUACAAGAGUAACUGCUUGUACCUUGACGGUACCUAACCAGAAAGCCACGGCUAACUACGUGCCAGCAGCCGCGGUAAUACGUAGGUGGCAAGCGUUAUCCGGAAUUAUUGGGCGUAAAGCGCGCGCAGGCGGUUUCUUAAGUCUGAUGUGAAAGCCCACGGCUCAACCGUGGAGGGUCAUUGGAA
RNAcentral lists this ribosomal RNA (550 nucleotides) under bacterium BaA1-46. RNAcentral's name for it is "bacterial SSU rRNA". It matches the Rfam family "Bacterial small subunit ribosomal RNA", at positions 95 to 631 of the family's 1533-position model. The record is from RNAcentral.